This 226-nucleotide ribosomal RNA is filed under the name uncultured bacterium. Its description in RNAcentral is "partial 16S ribosomal RNA". It matches the Rfam family "Bacterial small subunit ribosomal RNA", at positions 538 to 763 of the family's 1533-position model. The record is from RNAcentral.
GCGUUGUUCGGAUUCAUUGGGCGUAAAGGGUGCGUAGGUGGCGGGGGAAGUCAGGGGUGAAAUUUCGGAGCUUAACUCCGGAACUGCAUUUGAUACUGCCUUGCUUGAGGACUGGAGAGGAGAGUGGAAUUUACGGUGUAGAAGUGAAAUGCGUAGAGAUCGUGAGGAAGACCAGUGGCGAAGGCGGGUCUCUGGACAGUUCCUGACACUGAGGCACGAAGGCCAG